RNA transcript from Zingiber officinale, 4914 nucleotides. It is a transcript of the gene named putative disease resistance protein RGA3, with no coding region annotated. The record is from RefSeq and is a predicted model, not a curated record. The transcript has 4 exons. NCBI's taxonomy places the organism in Eukaryota, Viridiplantae, Streptophyta, Magnoliopsida, Zingiberales, Zingiberaceae.
UCUGAUGGUCUCUCUCUUGUGAUCGUCCGGAUUUGACAUCGGAAUGGAGAUGCAAUCGCCGCAAGCGUCAGCGGCCUCGAUUGCUCUUUUCUAUUCCAAGUCCAUGGUUCGAGGGAGGUUGAAGUUCCUCCAUCUCAAAGACGUGCAUGCCUCGACAAGUUCGUUUCGCUCGCUUCCUCCAUUUUCUCUUAAAGCUGGAACUUUGUCUGCCUGCAACACCCGUGCCUUCGUCAACGCCACUGACUCCUCAUCUGGUCUCGGGAUUCUUUUUGGUGCGAGAUUUGGAGAGUCACUGGAAGAUCAGAUCAUGGCCAUGAUUUUAACUGCUUUCAUUCCUCAAGUCAUUCAAGUGUUAGAUGGAAUCACCAAACGAGAGGAAAUUUUACUCUUGGGCGUGGCUGAUGAGGUUAAAGGUCUGGUAAGGAGGCUAGAGGAGCUAAGGAACAUUCUCCAGGAUGCUGAACGCAGGAGCUAUAAUGAAAAGGAGAUACAAUGGUGGUUAACCAAGCUACGAGAUAUUAUAUAUGACAUAGAUGAUAUGAUUGAUCAAUGCAAAAUUGAGGGGGAGAGUCACAAGAGAUUGUUGGAGCAGCAAGCUCAAUCAUUUAGGUUGCGCAUUAGCACUAAGUGUUCUGUGUCACUAUUUUCUUUCUUCAAUCGAUCUUUCCACCACGAGAUUACUGAAAGAAUCAAGAGGCUAAGUUCUAGGCUAGAUCAAGUAAUUAAAGAGGCUGCAAAGUUCCAAUUAAUAUCAUCCAUCCAUGGAUAUGAAGUUAGCCUGACAAACAAAUGUAUUGUUAGAGCAAUGGAUCCUGAAAGUGUAGAAUUUAAGUUCAAGAAGGAUGCAGAAUCUAUGUUUAAGCUACUGACUAUGGAGGAGCGGAUGAAUCUCUUGGUGAUUACUGGUGUUGGAGGGAUAGGAAAGACCAGGCUAGCUCAAAAGAUCUAUUACGAUGAGAGAACAAAAGCUCACUUCCAAGUUAGAAUCUGGAUAUGUGUCACUCAGCAAACCACAUUUAUCGACAUGCUGAAGCAGAUAAUCACUGGUGCAGGGCAAACCUACGGCGAAGCUCAAACAAGUGAACAACUAGAAAUCGAACUGAAGAGGGUCUUAGAGCAUAAGAAGUUUUUAUUGGUUCUGGAUGAUGUUUGGAGCAUACAAAUUUGUAAUGACUUACUGCAAAGAUCAUCACAGAACAUAGUUUCUGGUAGUAGGGUUCUGAUUACUACAAGAAACGAAACUCUUGCAAGAGAACUUCCUGGAGCACAUCUUCAUAGAAUGAAACCUCUGUCAACCAAAGAAGGAUGGUCAAUGCUCCGCAAGGAGCUGUAUCAGGAAGAUCAUGUUCAGGAGAUGCAGGAGCUGAAUAACAUCGGUAUCAAGAUUGUGAGGAAAUGCAAAGGUUUUCCUCUAGCUAUCCGCGUAAUUGCAGGAGUCCUUAGAACCAGAGGGUGGAGCUCUGAAGAAUGGGAGAAGGUUUUCCUUGAUCCAGCAUGGUCAUCCUUUGAUCUUCCAAAUGAUGUUACAAGAGCUCUAUAUUUGGCCUACAAGGACCUACCAGCUAAUUUAAGACAAUGUCUUGUCUAUUGCUCCUUAUUUCCAGAGGAUCAUUUGUUUGAUCAACAAUCCAUCACCAAGUAUUGGAUAGCUGAGAGACUGGUAGAAGAAAAAGAAAGAUCAACAAUUGAAGACACAGCUGAAGGCUAUUAUAAAGAGUUGAUUUGGAGGAACCUCUUGGAACGAGAUUUUGGUCAGCAAGAUGCUCAUAAGAUGCAUGGGCUUCUUCGCUUUCUUGCUCAUUUUUUGGCAGGAGAGGAGAACUUGUUUGGAAAUCUUGAUCUAAUGGAUGCAACCUCAACAAAGCCUCGACGCCUAUCAAUUGUGGCUAAGGGGCUUAUGGCAAUCCCAACAGAACUAAAAGAGCAAAAUUCUUUGAGAACAUUGUUGCUUUUUAGGAAUCCUUUAUCAGGGAAAAUUCUUGAUGAUUUUCUUCAAGGACUAAACCACCUGCGUGUCUUAGAUAUUCAUGGCACCGAUGUUGAUAGCUUACCAGAUUGCAUUGGAGAUCUUAUACAUUUGAGGCACCUAAAUGUUUCUUCUACAAGAUUAAAACAGCUCCCUGACAGUAUAGAGCGACUCAUAAAUUUACAGUUCUUAUCUGUACGAGGUUGUGAAUCAAUGACAGCGCUGCCUCAACAUCUGGUGAAGUUGCAAAGCAUAAGGAGUUUGGAUCUUGUAGGUACUCAGGUCAAUUGGUUGCCUGUUGGUGUUGGUAAACUUGAAAACCUUAACUCACUUUUAGGAUUUCUUGUGGAUUCUGGCAGUGAAGGUAUUUUGAUGUCUACACUAGAUGAUCUGGGACCUCUGACAAUGCUCAAGUAUCUUCUGUUACAGAAAUUGGAGAGAGUAUCCAAUGGUGCAGAAUCAGCUAGAGCAAACUUGAGAAGAAAGAAGUAUCUCAAGAACUUAAGCAUGCAUUGGUCACUUAAUAUUGCAGAUGCUCAACUACUUGAAGUGGACAAAUUCAAGGAGGUGCUCGAGGCGCUAUGCCCUUCAUCAAGCCUGGAAGAGCUUGAAAUUAUGGGAUACCCUGGUCUUGAUCUUCCCAGUUGGAUUUCCACAGUGAAAAAACUUACUAAAUUGGUUCUUCACAGGUGCUCAUCAAUCCAACAACUUCCACAACUAGGCCACCUUCCCCACUUGAGUUUUCUAUAUAUAUCAGGUGCCACCGCUGUCACUAAAAUUGGCACAGAAUUCUUUGGCUUGGAUGCAUGGCCUCCAUUCCCAAAGCUCAAUACUUUGGUCAUGGAGGAUAUGAUCAACUGGGAAGAUUGGCAAUGGCAGUUGGAAGAUGGUGAAGCUUUACCCUGUCUAAGAGAACUGCAGCUUGUCAACUGCUAUAAGUUACCAUCUCUUCCUGAUGGCCUGCGGCAUGCCACAGCCUUAACUGUUUUGGCGAUGGAUGGUGCUAAUCGACUUAUGAAGAUCGAGAACCUUUCUACCAUCAGAAAAUUGUCAGUGUCUAGCAGCUUCAAUCUUGUUGAGAUAUCCAAUCUUUCUUCACUUGAAAAUCUCAAAGUCAGCAACUGUUCAUCUUUGAAGAAGUUUGAACAUUUGGUUCAUCUGCAACAACUAAAUGUGAUAGAUGAAUCAAUGAAUAACCUUCCAGAGGGCUUAGGAGAAUAUGCAACAAAAGAUCUUCGAUGGCUGGAAUUGGAAUGCAAUGAAGAUAUGUUCAAGAGUUGUCAUCAUGGUGGCUCAGAGUGGCAUAAGUUUCAGCACAUUCAGGAUGUACAUAUCCACAGCAAAGAUCGAUAUAUGUACUUCUCCUACGGCAAGUCGUUACAAUAUUGUGAAGAAGCAACUGGUUCGGAGUCCAAUUUGGCCAUUGUUCCUGUUGUUUCUAACACCCCUUUAACCAAUACGUCCCCUGUGGCCAUUCCAAACACUGAUAUGGUUACAAAUCAAGGACACUUUUGUUUCUCCCCUCAAAAACUUCUACUCAUCCUGUAUAUAUACUUAACUAUUUAUAUCCUGUUUGAAUCUUUUUUCUUGUCUCCAACUCACCUUUCAUACCUUGGAUCAAGUCUCAUUUCCUUUCUGAUUGAUGUCAUCUUCUUCCUCAUAAGUUUACCUCUUUGCAUUAUGCGCGACACGUUUGGUUCCCUCAGCUCUGUUGUUAGUGCAGCCUAUAAACUGUUUGAUAUGUUAGUCAAUGUUGCCAAUUACAUGGAUGCUUCCAUAGGUGCAGUUGUUGAACCUGGUGUAGACUUUCUAUUUUCUUCCUUUUCAUUCAGCUCCAUCGUUGUUCUCUCAUGGCUCAUCGCUUCAUAUGGUGGUUGGUUUCAUCAAUAAACUGAGCUGAAACGUGUUGUGCUCUAUGUUAGUGGAAAUGAACAAGAAAAAAACAAGAAAGACAGAAAAAACCUACCACUGAACUUGAAAAGGAAGUCGUAGAAUUUUAACUGGUGGUAACUGGUAAAGAGCACAGAUGAUAAGAUACAAAGGCAGUCAAGAGAUAGGGAGAAAAAGGCAUCAAAAGAUGAUGCCAUGCCAUUAGCUAGCAUCGAGGUGAAGGUCAUGGCAGUGGCACCAUGCCACUGCCAUACUUGCAGGCACAGGUCGCUUUCUCUCUUUCUACUUUCUGGUCCUUUACGAAGGAAAAAGAGAAAAAUGAUUCCAAUCCCAUCCCUUAUCUGCCCCACACACCACACCAUCCCAUCAAAGCCAGCACACAACAUGCUGCCCCAGCCCCCAGCAGAGGCCUUCCUUGUUUCACCAACAGGGAGCAUCUCUUUCAUUUCUCCUUUCAUUUUUUUUCUUUUUUUACUUUCACCAGUCUGUUCAUUAGGGUGAGAAACUCGGAAGAAAGUAGAGGAGAGCAGCGGCUCCUGUGUUCACUGCCUGCAAUGGUAGAAGAGGAAGAACUCCCAUUGGAAAGUACAUUACUGCACAGCCUUUUCAACAGUUGGACUCUGCAAGACCAGACAUUGACCAUUCUGUCUACAAGCAUCACAUUUAAGCAAUUUUAAGCCUUUUGCAUCAAGAGAAAACCACAACCAUGCAUGAAUGAUAGACACAGAUAAUGUUACAGCUUUUUUGAUACCUGAUAGGCUGACAGCUCGCAGUUUGAAGGCAUUUGGUGCUGACUGUCAAGUUUCCCUCCUCCAUGCUGCAGUCAAGAAACUUGUACCUUGGAAUUAGUAUAUUGCAACUUGGAGAGAAAUAGAGAGAGGGAGAUAAAUACCCUCUGUUGAAGCACAAAGCCGAAGGUGACCGACCACCUGCCCUUUCAUUUCUUGUUCCUCUUGUCUCUUACAAGUAUAACCAACAGGGGAGUGGAGAGAAGACACUCUGAGUUUUGACAGUAAAAAUAAAAAUAAAAACCAAAAGUCUGGUUUGAGGAGAUCAUG